This is a non-coding RNA of Oryza sativa Japonica Group (Japanese rice), 3012 nucleotides long. The record is from RefSeq and is a predicted model, not a curated record. Lineage: Eukaryota; Viridiplantae; Streptophyta; Magnoliopsida; Poales; Poaceae.
UGAUAGAAUUCUGAUUUUCACAAAAUUAAUCGUGGUGGUAUUUUACGCAUGUGGCAAUUUAAUUACCAAAAUAAUAACUAUUUCUAUCAGUCUUUAUGUUUAGGUAACCUGCCCAAGUAAAUUGUAUUAACUGAUUGAUGUUUGUUGUUCCUGGUGAUGAUUCUCUUCUGUUUCAUGUGGUCUGCAGUGCAUGGACAGUGUUUACAAGGUAGCCCUAUACUCCUAUAUUCAUCACAACAUAGUAGAUAGUACAAACGAGCCACAUCACCGUCUGUUUCCGCCAUGGCAGCGUGACUCCGCCCGACGGCUGGAGGAGGCGAGGUCAGGCCUGCCCUCAAUCGACGCUCCACGCCACCGCAGCCCGCAGCCCCAUCGGCGCCAUCGCUGCGUCGCUCCAUCGCCAUCCCGACCUCGAAGUUGAACCGGCUUCGAGUCCCUCGUGCUGCCACUGAUCCCAGGGCUCCUCAACCCUGCAAGCCAUCGAUCCUGCCUGCGAACAAGAUAAGAGUGCUUCUCGAUCCCGUUCCUGUACGAGGAGGCAUACGGGGCAUGUCCUUAGUGGUUUACUGUACCUGACAAGCAAACAUCUCAAACAUGUUUGUAAAAUCCUCUCGAAAGUAGAGUACCACGUUCCUCAACCCUGUUCACCGAGAUAAGUAUUGUUUAAUGAUGCUAAUGUAUGGUAUGUUAAGCUGAUAUUUGAUGCUACUGAAAUAUGUAACAUAUGGACAUGAAUGUUCACUUCUUUUUUAUGUAAAAUGUAUAUUACCUCAUUAAUAUGAGUGCUUUCAAACCUGACACCAUCUUAAUUGGAAUAUUUGAUUAUGAGAAAACCCUUAUAAUUUAUCUCCACUGUUCUUGAGAGUUAGAAAAAUCUUUCAAUACAUUUUAGUAGUUUUAGAUGCUAAAAAUUCCAGAAGUUGAAGGCUUAUCCAUGCAGUUUUAGAUUUGGUUGGAUGGAAUUUGGAUUCAUUGAACAUUCUUAAACUAUGGCUCUUUUACCAUCAAAACUUUACAUUUUCCAUAUCGUCUUCGACUGCUUGUAGACAAACAACUACAGAAGAAUAUCUCAUGCUUUUUAUGAAACCAGCUAAUGCGACAGUGUCGAGGGGGGUCUUGGCCGGAUCCGUUGCUCAUGGCCGGUAGGAGUGAGGAGUACACAGGCUUCCACACUACGAGGAAACUUCAAUGCUCGAGUUGUCGAGCUAGGUUGGGGAUAUUUGAUUCUUUAAUCUGUAUAGGGUUUGGUAGCGUGCACUCAGCCCUUAGGACUUAACAUGACAGUAAGUGAGAAAAAGGGAAAACAGUGAGUUUUUGCAUCAGGCUGGCUCAACUAAAUGAUUUUUAUGUCCCUUUGGUAAUGAAAAGAUAUUUUUCUGUUGUAUACCAUCUCAUAUGCUCUUAAGAUACAUUUUGAUUUACAUAACAAUUAUGUUUCUAUGUGAAAGAAACUAAAUAUGUAUUUGGUCAUUUUGGUAACUGUUCGCUUAACUUGCAUGGCAUGUUGACUAAUCCAGAAUUGGCAACUGGAGGGGACAGUUGCAGUUCAGUGCCUGACUUGGCUGGCUGUAGGUACAAGUAUUCAUAGUCAACUAAUAAACGGAAUACAUCUCAUGCUAAUUGCAGGUCCUUUUCAUGACAUAACUUACUCAAGAACGAAAUGAAAUCUGCAUAUAGUCAGUAGCAACUAAAUUUACAUUUUCUGUAUGUAAUUAAUCAUAUAUUGUUUGAAGGGGAAACUUAGUGUAGGAUUCAUGGGCAAUGGCUGAGUUCGACAAUAUGAGGGGCUUAUAAUAGGUGUAUCCCCAAGCUGAAAACUGAGCAGAUUUUUGUAGUGCUUCUGUAAUUAAAAAUGCCAACUGACCUAUUGAUUAUUUUUUUUAAAAAAAACUUUGCUAUUGAUUAAUUAGUAGAGAUUUACCUUACUAACAUUCUCUUUAGCUUUAUUAUUUUUGACAUAAUCAAUGAGAAGAUAUGUCUUGACAUAAUCAAAAGGGGCUGAGAUUUCAUGAGCAAACAAUUAGAUAAUAUUUUCUCAGCCCAGGUUUAGUCCUAUUCCCAUGCUUCACUGCUUGCUCCACUCCUUUUGUGACUUGGCAGGUACCAUCUAAUGAGGUUCGUGGUGGUUUUCGAUUCUAUUUAUGUACAGGUGAUCACUUUAUGAACAAUAAACAUCUUGAUUUUCCUCCAUCAAUGUUCAUGUUACUUGCUGUUGUUAUUGCUAACUAGACUCUGUAUAAGAGAAAUUUCUUCUGUUGUUUACCUACCUUUGGUAGGGUUAUUUCACUUCUGAAAUUUAUUCACUUAUUUACCCUAUAUUUGCUAUUUAGACAAAAUAGCAUGAUCUCUCUUUUGUGUCACAAGGUAAUAUCCCAGCCGUCAAGGGGUCUUUGAUCUGUUAGUAAUCCAGGUCAUGGCCUAUAUUACAUGGCCACAGAUCCUAUGAGGUGGGCUGUAUUACAUUGCCACACAUCCUAUAUUACAUUGCCACUGGCAAUGCAGCUUAACGGGAUAUGGGAAUUAAUCUGGAAUUUCACUGUAAUUUACGCAUCUCUGCAUGUGGAUUUACUGUUAUGGAAGAUGCUUGUGAUUUUCUAUACUGAUUCGUUCAGUUGUUUCUCAUAUACAAGGGAUAGGGUGAUUGGGGAGCUGAAGCUGUGUCACCUUCUCUCCAGUUGUAUCGAGAGAUAAAUUAGUGAGAUAGGCACUGUCAUUAAGAAUUUUGCUAUUUUGAUGUCAUGACCACUUAUAAAGAGCAUGCCCUGUACUUGCCAUUUCUUUUGUUGAUGGUACAUUUUUCAGUGUCAUUUAACAUUCAAGUACUUCCAAUUUGAUUCCUUCCUAGCUUCUGAACAUACAAGACUCAGAGCUCAUAUUUCCAAUUUGUUUGUAUAACCAAUAUUUUUCAGCACCAUGGAUGCAUAUUUAGUGUUUUCUGCACUCGAAUCUGUAAAUAAACUAUAUGGUGUCAGAUAUUACGGUUGGUGUUUAAUAUAGAGCACAUGUUAAUAA